Polistes dominula (European paper wasp) is the source of this 1079-nucleotide long non-coding RNA. The record is from RefSeq and is a predicted model, not a curated record. NCBI's taxonomy places the organism in Eukaryota, Metazoa, Arthropoda, Insecta, Hymenoptera, Vespidae.
UCAACAACAUCAAUCUAUUAUGCGUAUCAUAUGAUGUGCCUGAUAUGAACAAAAAAAAAAAAUACAAUUAAAAUCAUCAGGAAGAAAAUAAAAAAAAAUAGAAAAAUAAAGUUUAAAAAAGGUUCGGGUACUUUAGCAUGAGAAGACAUUCCUGAGAAGAUAUCUCGCGCAUGCACACAAAGCAGACGAUUAUCUUAAGUACGAAUUUUCAAUGAUCGUUCGAAGAACUUUCGACCUUAACGUUUCUUCAGGGUUUGACGUUAGAAAAGAAUAGAAAGUAAAUAGGAAGAAGAGAGAUAGAAUGACAACCGAUGUACAUAUAACACACAAAGAAAUAUAGAGAGGUGGAAGAGGAGGAAUAGGGGGUAGAGGAGGGAAAAAGAGGGAUAGAAUGAGGAUAAGGGGAGUUAGAGGAAAAGGGUAGGAGUUAAAUAUCUCUCUCGAGCGAAGGAGAAAGGAGGAAUCGGCCGGCACAUGGGUCUCUCACUGCGGGUCGAUACUCUAGCACUGGAGUGAACGCUCGGUACACUUGCACUCGGCCGAGUACAUCUGCACCGGGGAUUGCCUGCUUGCUUGCUUGCUUGCCUGCCUGCCUGCCUGCCAGCCUGGCCACUCGCCCUGGCCACUACUCUUAGGCCAAGUGAAUAUCGGAGGCUAAUGUCUCUCUGUUACUACGUGGAAAAAGAGAAGAAAAAAAAGAAAAUGCUUUCGUCUAUAGCUGUAGCAUCUUGAAGAAUUUUAUCUCCAAGUGGAAGAAGAGUCCCAGCAGCACCUUUCAGAAGAAACAUAUGUCUACUCUUUUGUAUAUAUGUACUUUACAUUGUACGUACAUACACAUAUACUCUAUUUUACGCGAGCAAGGGUAUACAUUGCACCUACGUGGAUAAAAAAAGAGAACACACGUGGCAACCUUUGUCUACCGUCAAAGCAUAUCGAUUGCAAGUUGUAUCCCAUGGAAGUCCUUUGCAACGCCGACAUCAACAACUACAUCACCUGAAACGAUGAAUAUUUAUCAGUUUCACUUACCAACGGAAAUCCCGAAGAAGUACUCGAAGUCAUUACUCGGAUCUAUUGAAAGU